This 391-nucleotide ribosomal RNA is filed under the name uncultured bacterium. Its description in RNAcentral is "partial 16S ribosomal RNA". It matches the Rfam family "Bacterial small subunit ribosomal RNA", at positions 523 to 917 of the family's 1533-position model. The record is from RNAcentral.
AUACGGAGGAUCCGAGCGUUAUCCGGAUUUAUUGGGUUUAAAGGGUGCGCAGGCGGCCAUUUAAGUCAGCGGUUAAAUCGUGGGGCUCAACCCCAUUCUGCCGUUGAUACUGGGUGGCUUGAUUGCGGUCGAGGUUGGCGGAAUUCGUUGUGUAGCGGUGAAAUGCAUAGAUAUGACGAAGAACACCGAUUGCGUAGGCAGCUGACCAGAUCGCAAAUGACGCUCAUGCACGAAAGUGCGGGGAUCGAACAGGAUUAGAUACCCUGGUAGUCCGCACAGUAAACGAUGAAUACUUGUUUUCGGCGAUAUAAUGUCGGAGGCAAAGCGAAAGCGAUAAGUAUUCCACCUGGGGAGUACGCCGGCAACGGUGAAACUUAAAGGAAUUGACGGG